UACGUAGGGGGCAAGCGUUGUCCGGAAUCAUUGGGCGUAAAGCGCGCGUAGGCGGCCCGGUAAGUCCGUUGUGAAAGUCAAAGGCUCAACCUUUGAACGCCGAUGGAUACUGCCGGGCUAGAGUCCGGAAGAGGCGAGUGGAAUUCCUGGUGUAGCGGUGGAAUGCGCAGAUAUCAGGAGGAACACCGGUGGCGAAGGCGGAUCUCUGGGCCUGUCCUGACGCUCAGGCGCGAAAGCUAGGGGAGCAAACAGG
RNAcentral lists this ribosomal RNA (253 nucleotides) under uncultured bacterium. Its description in RNAcentral is "partial 16S ribosomal RNA". It matches the Rfam family "Bacterial small subunit ribosomal RNA", at positions 524 to 776 of the family's 1533-position model. The record is from RNAcentral.